RNAcentral lists this unclassified non-coding RNA (257 nucleotides) under uncultured Pleosporales. RNAcentral's name for it is "sequence contains 5.8S rRNA gene, ITS2, 28S rRNA gene". The stretch from base 1 to 52 matches the Rfam family "5.8S ribosomal RNA", at positions 103 to 154 of the family's 154-position model. Lineage: Eukaryota; Fungi; Ascomycota; Dothideomycetes; Pleosporales. The record is from RNAcentral.
AACGCACAUUGCGCCCUUUGGUAUUCCAAAGGGCAUGCCUGUUCGAGCGUCAUUUGUACCCUCAAGCUUUGCUUGGUGUUGGGCGUCUUUUGUCUUUGGCCUCGCCCAAAGACUCGCCUUAAAACGAUUGGCAGCCGGCCUACUGGUUUCGCAGCGCAGCACAUUUUGCGCUUGCAAUCAGCACAAGGACGGCAAUCCAUCAAGACUACAUUUUUACGUUUGACCUCGGAUCAGGUAGGGAUACCCGCUGAACUUAA